RNAcentral lists this ribosomal RNA (253 nucleotides) under uncultured bacterium. Its description in RNAcentral is "partial 16S ribosomal RNA". It matches the Rfam family "Bacterial small subunit ribosomal RNA", at positions 524 to 776 of the family's 1533-position model. The record is from RNAcentral.
UACAGAGGUGGCAAGCGUUGUUCGGAAUUACUGGGCGUAAAGGGCGCGUAGGCGGCCAGCUAAGUCAGACGUGAAAUCCCCCGGCUUAACCUGGGAACUGCGUCUGAUACUGGACGGCUUGAGUAUGGGAGAGGGAUGUAGAAUUCCAGGUGUAGUGGUGAAAUGCGUAGAUAUCGGGAGGAACACCAGUGGCGAAGGCGACUUCCUGGCCUGUUCUUGACGCUGAGGCGCGAAAGCUAGGGUAGCAAACGGG